AUUGAACGCUGGCGGAAUGCUUUACACAUGCAAGUCGAACGGUAGAGGGGGCAACCCCUUGAGAGUGGCGAACGGGUGAGUAAUAUAUCGGAACGUGCCCAGUCGUGGGGGAUAACGUAGCGAAAGUUACGCUAAUACCGCAUACGAUCUACGGAUGAAAGCGGGGGACUCGCAAGAGCCUCGCGCGAUUGGAGCGGCCGAUAUCAGAUUAGGUAGUUGGUGGGGUAAAGGCUCACCAAGCCAACGAUCUGUAGCUGGUCUGAGAGGACGACCAGCCACACUGGAACUGAGACACGGUCCAGACUCCUACGGGAGGCAGCAGUGGGGAAUUUUGGACAAUGGACGCAAGUCUGAUCCAGCCAUUCCGCGUGCAGGAUGAAGGCCCUCGGGUUGUAAACUGCUUUUGUACGGAACGAAAAGGUUUCUAUUAAUACUAGGAGCUCAUGACGGUACCGUAAGAAUAAGCACCGGCUAACUACGUG
RNAcentral lists this ribosomal RNA (482 nucleotides) under uncultured bacterium. Its description in RNAcentral is "bacterial SSU rRNA". It matches the Rfam family "Bacterial small subunit ribosomal RNA", at positions 30 to 507 of the family's 1533-position model. The record is from RNAcentral.